GACGAACGCUGGCGGCGUGCCUAAUACAUGCAAGUUGAGCGAUGAAGAUUGGUGCUUGCACAAAUUUGAAGAGCAGCGAACGGGUGAGUAACGCGUGGGGAAUCUGCCUUUGAGCGGGGGACAACAUUUGGAAACGAAUGCUAAUACCGCAUAACAACUUUAAACAUAAGUUUUAAGUUUGAAAGAUGCAAUUGCAUCACUCAAAGAUGAUCCCGCGUUGUAUUAGCUAGUUGGUGAGGUAAAGGCUCACCAAGGCGAUGAUACAUAGCCGACCUGAGAGGGUGAUCGGCCACAUUGGGACUGAGACACGGCCCAAACUCCUACGGGAGGCAGCAGUAGGGAAUCUUCGGCAAUGGACGAAAGUCUGACCGAGCAACGCCGCGUGAGUGAAGAAGGUUUUCGGAUCGUAAAACUCUGUUGGUAGAGAAGAACGUUGGUGAGAGUGGAAAGCUCAUCAAGUGACGGUAACUACCCAGAAAGGGACGGCUAACUACGUGCCAGCAGCCGCGGUAAUACGUAGGUCCCGAGCGUUGUCCGGAUUUAAUGGGCGUAAAGCGAGCGCAGGUGGUUUAUUAAGUCUGGUGUAAAAGGCUGUGGCUCAACCAUUGUAUGCAUUGGAAACUGGUAGACUUGAGUGCAGGAGAGGAGAGUGGAAUUCCAUGUGUAGCGGUGAAAUGCGUAGAUAUAUGGAGGAACACCGGUGGCGAAAGCGGCUCUCUGGCCUGUAACUGACACUGAGGCUCGAAAGCGUGGGGAGCAAACAGGA
This 766-nucleotide ribosomal RNA is filed under the name uncultured bacterium. RNAcentral's name for it is "bacterial SSU rRNA". It matches the Rfam family "Bacterial small subunit ribosomal RNA", at positions 28 to 777 of the family's 1533-position model. The record is from RNAcentral.